Molecule: long non-coding RNA, 811 nt
Filed under: Homo sapiens (human)
Lineage: Eukaryota; Metazoa; Chordata; Mammalia; Primates; Hominidae
Description: HSALNT0337283
Source: RNAcentral
GCCAAUCCUGGUGCACUUACAACAUCAUUUCUGCACCUACAAAAUUAUGGACCAGAUUUUGGAGAGCAACAAGUUCACCAAGUACAGACGGGGUUUCACCGUGUUAGCCAGGGUGGUCUCGAUCUCCUGACCUCAUGAUCCACUCACCUCGGCCUCCCGAAGUGCUGGGAUUACAGGCGUGAGCCACCGUGCCCGGCCUUGCUUUCAUCAUUAAAGAAGACAUACAUCUUCCCUUUUGUGGACACAAGCCUGAUCAUUGGAGCUUCAGCAGCUAUCUGGUAAUAAUGAGAGAAAGGCCAAGCCCAGGGAAUUACAGAGACAUUGGCCCUGCCAUUACUGAGUAACUGAACCAACUCCAGCAACUACCCAAGAAACUUCCUGUUGUGAGAGAAUAAGCAAACUUAUAUCUAUUCUAACUCUUGUAUUUAGCUUCUCUGUUACUUGCAGCUGAAUAAAUAUAGCAUUUAAAAAAAUUACCUUACGUAAUUAUAAGUGCUUCAUCCCAAAGAGACGACGUGUAGGUCUGACAAUAGCGGGAAUAAAUACUGAUAAUAUUUUAAUAGAUAAUGACUUGAUUCUAUUAUUUAAUACUUUUUAGACUAAUAGAUAAUUUUUAGAUAUUAAUGGAAAAACCUCUACUUGAGUCAAAGCAGUAACUUCAAAGAACCAGAAAUAAAUUGUUGGCUAAUGCAGGCUGGUCUAGGAAACGUUGCCAAGUAUUUAAAAAGGAAAAAAUCUCCCCUUUUUAUGUUUAACCCAACCCCUACUUGUCCUUAAAAACCUUAUUUCUAUAAUAAAAUAUAUUUUUCUG